RNAcentral lists this long non-coding RNA (1261 nucleotides) under Calidris pygmaea (Spoon-billed sandpiper). RNAcentral describes it as "lncRNA (ENSCPGG00000003975.1)". The record is from RNAcentral. Lineage: Eukaryota; Metazoa; Chordata; Aves; Charadriiformes; Scolopacidae.
AACUUAUGCAUAGACCUGCAUAGGUGUUGGGUUUGGAAACAAAGUAAGUGAGCUCACUAUGAGGCUAUUAAGUCCUUUUCCCACCUCUUCCAUUUUUCCAGUUCGCUGUCUGUCUAGAAGUCCUCCAGAGGCAGAGCUAGGACAUCACCUGCUGACAGCCCACUCCCACCUUCUUGUAAGCCAGCCAAAAUCAGUCACCAGCCAGCAAGCGUUUGCCAAGUUGUGCAGCAAUAGUUUUUAGGUCCAUGGUGUAAACGGGCUCUACAACAGUGAGCUGAACAGGUUUCCCAGGGAAGUCGUGGAUGCCCCAUCCCUGGAGGUGUUCAAGGCCAGGCUGGAUGUGGCUUUGAGCAACCUGCUGUAGUGGGAGGUGUCCCUGCCCCUGGCAGGGGGGUUGGAACUAGAUGAUCUUUAAGGUCCCCUCCAACACAAACCAUUCUAUGAUUCUGUGAUUCUAUGAUCUGUGAUGAGAAUAGGCCCUUCUGUUGUGGGUUUUGCUUAACUGCUUAUGGGCCACUGGGGCCAAAUGCAAAGAGCUGAAUGUUGAAUUGAUCCUCAUUUUCAGCAGAACUAGAGGGUCCGAGAAUGUCCCAAUUCAGCACUGACACUGAGAAAAUCCUGAGGGAAGUCAUGGGCUAAGAAUACUGCACACAGUCAUUUUAAUUCCUAAUAUCUGCAAUGUUUCCUGGAUAUAAUAGAGAGAUGUUACAAUUCACUUACGUUUUAAUGACUUAAUUGGUUCAUACAAAACAGUUAAACUGAGAACGUUCAUAAUUGUUUGGGGAAGAGAUGCUAUUCUGUCACUCCCAUACUGUUAGUAUGUGACAUUAAUAUUAGCAGUAAACCUUAAAGGGAGAGUAAUUUCUGAGGGAAACUGAGAAGAUUAAAUAAUCUCUGAGUUUAAACUACAGAAUUACACUAAGUGUUUUCUGGCAUUGCAGAAAUCUGAAGAAUUUUUUCAAUUUUUUUUCAUUUUGAGUAUGUGAAAUUGAGCAAGAUUUCUGGGCCUGAAUUAGUUUUUAAUUCGGUGGUAAACAAAUAACUCUUUAUUUUGGAUUCACCAGCAGGAUGGUUGUAGGUUGUUUUAUGUUUCUUUUGGUGCAGGGUGGGGAAGGAGAAACACUGAGCACAAAAACUGAAGUAUUUGCUUGUUAAAGUAUUUGCAAGUUUUAAUAACUACUUGAUAAACAAUAGUGUUUUUAAGAAUUUGUGUGUGUAUUUGAUGAAUAAAACCUCCUCUCUCUCCUUUAAUAGUAGCUAG